GAAACGAGAGGGAGAAAUGGGCAAAUGUAGAUAAAUGGUCAUUCUGCCCUCAAAUGUCUUAAAUGUCUCAUUCAACAAAUAUUUAUUGAGCAUCUACUAGGUGCCAGGCACUCUUCUAAGUCUUGGGGGUACACUGCUGAGUAACACAGACAAACAGCCUGCCCUCGUGGAGCUUACAGUCUGGUGAGGGAAGACAGAUGGUGCCCUGCUGGACCUGAGGCCAUACUGGAGACCGAGGCAAAAGGAGGAAUCAGUAACACUGAUCCUACCUUUGUUUAAAAAUUUGAUAUUUUGCCCAUUAUUGAUUUUCUUUUUGCCCUUUGAUUUUUAAAAAUAUUGCAACAAAAUAUUUAUCUUGAUUAUUUACGUUUUUGGUGUCCUCUCAAAUUUUGUGCUCAAGGCAAAUCUCACUCCCCUCCUCCUAGUCCCAGCCAUGAGAAGGAUGCUGAUAGAUGCAUGGUAGGGUCUGAAGUGUACCCCCCAUAUUUCCCUUCAAACGCAUGUGCCCGUCUUCCCCACUGCUGAGAGUGCUCACAGCUCACAGCUCACAGCGGCAUCUCCACUCCCAGAGAUUGCCCUUGGCUGCCCAGAGCCCUAGCCCAAGGUCAUGCCUUCUCCCCAGAGACAGCCGACAUCCAAUGAUUGAUCAAUGUGGAGAGAGAAGAUUCCAGAACAGCAGAGGCCAGAUGACAAUGCUUAUCUGUCAGAAGCAAGGUGGGAGCAAAUACUGCACUGAGCAGCAAGGUCAGAGCAGCAGGAGGGAGACUGAGGCACAGAGAGCUAUGGAAGCGGCUGGAGUCCCUGGAUGCAAGAUCAAUCUAUACCAGUGGCUCUUGAAGUGUGGUCCCCUGACCAGCAGCAUAAGCAGCACCCGGAAAAUUGUUAGAAACACCCAUUCUCAGGCCCCAGCCCAGACUUCCUCAACCAGAAACUCUAGGGGUGGGGCCCAGCAAUCUGUGUUUGAACAAGGCCUCCAGGCGACUCUGAUGCACUAAUCUGUACUGUCAAAAGGAAGGAUGAUGAGGAGGCUAAGGGCAGCUGUGCCAUUAAAAAGUCGGAAUUCUUUGACCACUUCUGGACCUGAACCAAAUUUCGGACUCAGAGCUCACUGACUGAAGGAAAGGCCAGAUCCUCAGGAAGGAGUACCCUGCAACACCUUGGCAAGUCUCCAUGACAAUGAUUUCCCCAAUCCUUCCCCAAAGGGACUGACAGAUACUUACCUGGGGAAAAGAAAUAGCCCAAUAUUUUGAGAUGUUGGACAUAACAUCUGAGUUAACAAUGAUACCCAGCAAGACACAAAACAUGGUCCCUCUGGUAGAGUGGGUGUGUAUGGGCUCCUGGCCCAAGUCCACUUCACCGUGGGUCUAGUUGGUCCAGGGACCAGCCCAGUGGUUAUGUCCCCGGUCCUUGAAUGCAUAACUGAAAUAGUCGAUACUUGCAAGCUGGCAGAGUACCCAUAUGCUCACAUUGGUUCCUUGGCCUGUGAAUUAAAGCUAUCAUGGUGGGAAGGACAAGUGUGAGCCUCUGAAGCUGCCCCUACACCCCUCCUCUGGGCAAAUUACACACAUCCCGGGGCAAAUAGCAGAAAUUAAUGCUACCCUUAAAGACCUAAAGGAAGGAGAGUGGUGAUCCCCAUCAAACCUCCAUUUAAUUCAUCAGCCUGGCCCCCACAAAAACUGGACAGAUCCUGGAAGAUGUCAGCAGAGUGCUCCAAGCCCCAUCAACUAGCAGAGAUAACUGCUGCUGUUGUGCCAGAUGUGGUAUUAGCCACAGCCCCCACCACAGCAGCUGAUCUGGAGGCAGCAACUGAUACUUACGGUUUCUCUCUUCUACUACUCAUUCUAUAUUUCCCUCAUUCUUAGUUAGUUCCGGUGACAGACAAUAAAAUAAAGGAGUAAAUUUUAUAGUACGUUGGAUGAUGAAAAUGCUAGGGAAAAAUUGGGUAAGGGGAAAAAUGUUCUGCUAUUUCGAAUAGGUUAGGGUAGGCUUCUCUGACAGGUGACAUUUGAGCAAAAUCUUGAAGAAGGUGAGGGAGUGAUCACCUUCAGAAGAAGAACACUUCAUAUGGAUGGAACAGCAAGUGAAAAGGCCCUGAGGCGGGAUCAUGUCUGGAGACUUACAGGAACAGCCAGGAUCACUCCGAUUCCUGUGCUGAGAAUAGCCCACAGAGAGGCAAGGAGGGCAACAAGGCAAGAGAGAACAAUGGCUUGGCCCAGCGUGAGGGCACAAAUGUGAUGGGAUAAAUACCAGGAUGUCUGUAGGCUGGUGGAAAGGGUACAGUGGAGAGGGGUCAAUGGAUAAAGCAGCGAGGGGAGAACUGCUGGAGCCGGCAAGAGGGGAUGGGAUCCAGCACACAGAGGACGGGUUUUCUUCGAUAGCAGCACAGAUGGUCCAUCUGCGGUAUUGGCGAGAAGGCAGGACCCGCGGUGCAGGUCCUGGCAGAGCCUCACGUAUGGUGGGAAGUGGACCAGGAGCUUGGCAAAGUGGGGAGUUUCUGGAGGUAAUACUUUUCUCUCAUUUUGUGAAGUAAUAUAUUAAGGUAACUUCGGUCAAGUUAUUUAGUUAUCUCUAAGCUGCAGUUACCUAAAUUUGUAAAAUGAGGAUAAUACCACUAUAGUAUAGAUUGUGGGGAGGAUUAAAUGAAUUAACACUAGAAAAAUGCGUAAAGAAUAAUUAGCACAUAGUAAGCAAUCUAAGUAGAUAACUUCUACCUUUUAUUGAUAGAUAUUACUUUUAAUGGAGCACUAAAAAGUGAGGGAAGGAUUUGGGAAGUAUUUGUCCAGAACCUAAUCUUUUUUUUUUGAGGAAGAUUAGCCCUGAGCUAACAGCUGCUGCCAAUCCUCCUCUUUUUGCUGAG
This is a non-coding RNA of Equus caballus (horse), 2857 nucleotides long. Lineage: Eukaryota; Metazoa; Chordata; Mammalia; Perissodactyla; Equidae. The record is from RefSeq and is a predicted model, not a curated record.